Molecule: long non-coding RNA, 2640 nt
Organism: Chroicocephalus ridibundus (black-headed gull)
Lineage: Eukaryota; Metazoa; Chordata; Aves; Charadriiformes; Laridae
Exons: 3
Source: RefSeq, a predicted model, not a curated record
AUCUUGAGGCUGAUUGCGGAGGUCAGGACUCAACUGGAAAGACCGCAGCGGGUUGCUGACUGGCAUCCACCGUCCAGAUAAGAUAAAAACAACUGAUGACAGCAGGGAAGUGAAACAGUCAUCUCAGCACUUGGAUUAGUGCCCGGCAAAGAGGAAGGGAGAAAAAAAACCAAGGAGGGCCGGUGGGGAGGGGAAGGGGGUGGAAUAUGUAUUAGAAUAGAAACUCUGGAAAAAAAAAGCUAUCAGGAGGCAGCAGAUUUGGGUGUUAAAUAUUUAUGAAUUAGCGGCACUUGUCGCGUUCUCUCCGAGCCGUGAGUCUGCAGGACGGGCGCGCGUGUGGCUGCGGACCCGCCGUGGCCGCGGUGGGCACACAGGGGGCGGUGGGAAGAGCAGGGGCACGGAGGGGCAGUGGGAGCCGGGGGGAAGGUGACGGGGUCCGGCGGGUCUGGCGGUGCCGAGACUCGCCGCGGUGCAGGAUAAAUCCAGGUGAAGAGCAGGAAGGAUAAAUGAGGUGCCAUAAAAGUGACUAUUAUUAUUCAGAAAAUUCUGCUGAAGAGCAUUGGAGUAAUUAAAUCAUAAUUGCUUAUUACUCAGCCGAAGUGACAUUGUAAGUGGCUGAAGGUCUGUGACGAGGAGAGGAGGGGGGGUCUCGGCUUUUCUGCCGUGCUCCGGGUUCGCCUCCAUCCCGCUGCCGACGUCCGCAUCCCCGCGGCGGCCGCGCCAAAACUCCAGCCCUCGGUGAAGGUCAAAAGUCCCCCCUGAGCCCAUGAAGCCCAUUUUCAGCGUGGCGCCCGGUCGGAGCGUCCCGGGGGUGCUGCCGCCAGCGCAGCGUUACCGGCUGCUGCGGGACAGGGAGCCGGGAGCAGCUUCGCGAGAGGUGCCCGAGCGGCGUUAGCUUCCACUGCCCCGGCUGGACGGUUGUUGCUGGUCUCCAGCACCUUGGGGUUGGGCUGACCCGCUAAACUCCGAGAGCUCUAAAGGAGCCGUUCCCUGCCGCGAAACAAAGAGCCUGCAAAUCCUGUAAGCGCUUAAUUACGCAGCGGUGUUUUAUGGAACGUUUUAAAGGGCUCAGGUAAUUUGGCAGCACAGAGGAGAUGCGGAGCGGAGGUUUGGAAGCGUGAGCCCUUCCCAGCACGCCAUGGCGGGCUUUCCUUGCGCCAGCCGGGUUGGGAUGACAAACCGUAUUCUCGGCUUUAGGUAACACGUUCUGAAUUUUGCUGGAGUUUCCUCAUUUUUGUUUCGGUGUCGCUCUGUGUUUCACAUUCUGAAAUAUUCUGAAAUGAGGUCAUCCGGCAUGUAAGGGCAGCUGAGCGUCUCUUAGUUAUGUUUUUUUUCACCCUUUUUUGCUGCCCCCCUCCCCACCUCGCCCUCCGCCAUGCUGCCCGUGCCCUGCCGCCCGCCCCCAACUCCCCGGCAGCAUCCGGGAGGGAGAGAAAAGGACCGAACCGUGGCGGCAUGGCGCUGGCACGCUGCGAUGCCCGGGUACCAUCGCAUCCCAGGUGAACUCCCCUGGGAUGGGAAAGGAGAAGAGGAGAAGGCCCCCAUCGCUGUUGCUGGCUGCUUGACUUUAUCCUGCUCCGGUUCCAGCUGGCAGAACAAGGUCUGCGGUUCUGCACCGAGAACCGGGCAGGUGUGGUGGGGAAAAAUGCUGGAAAUGGUGGAAAAGAGCAUCCCUUCUGGGGCGGUCUCAAGGAUAACCCCGCGCUCACCGCGCCCCGUGCUGGUGGGAAGCGUCAGCCUCCAGCCCUUCGAGGAGCAGCGAGGCUGGUUAUGUUUCCACCAGGCGUAUUUAUUUUUAUUUUUUAAAUAGCUGUAAAAUGAGUCACCUGGCACCGCGGCAGAACGCAGCCCACCAGCACGGAGAGCGCCGAGGAACUGCCAGGGAAUCUGCUGCCAAUAAACCACUCGUGGCUUCAGACGGGCUCUUGUUUUGGGGCUCGCUGGAGCCAGCUGGGAGCCGAGCCCGCGGCCGCCUGCCAGCACCGACCCCCUCGCCGGGACCCGCCGCUCCCGCUGCCAGCCCCUGUUUUGUCUAAUUACGCCGGGCUAAUGGGGAGAGCACAAAAGCCCGUGGCUUCCCCGGCCCCUGCUCUUUGGGCAGAGCCCGGCCAGGGGAGCUUGUGCUCCUAUAUAAAGAAAUACAAUUUAUUUAUUUUUUUUCUUUCUUGCAGUAAAGACAUCCCUAAAUGAGAGUCAUCUGCGGGUUUCUUCCCAUCCUGGGGUGAGGCACGUCGGUAAGUGAACGUGAUCCCCUGUGAAGCUCAAACUCUGCACCGAGAUCCUGAUUCUCAGGAAAAGGGUGAAAAAAUCCCACUCUUCGUCGUAGCUUCAAGGGAGGAAGGAUGGGGAAACAUUCCCAGAAGAUCUUUCAUUGACAGGAACUCCACCGCAGAAACAAGCGUGGAAGCCAACAUAAUUAAAGGCUUCUUUUUCCCCAGCCGUGGUCCUCUGGUCUUUGAAGAGCUCGGGGAUCCCUGAGGAAUGCUCUGAACUCUGCAAUAUUUUGAUAGCUGCAAUAACAUAAUCAAAAGAUGCUUUCAUGAAGAGAGCACCUUGUGUGGAUUGAGGCUGCCCCCUCUCCCCCCACCCAGUGCCGAUUUAAUGGGGUCCAGAGCUCGAGCGCAGAUGGGUAGUUUUAUU